RNAcentral lists this ribosomal RNA (460 nucleotides) under uncultured bacterium. RNAcentral's name for it is "partial 16S ribosomal RNA". It matches the Rfam family "Bacterial small subunit ribosomal RNA", at positions 338 to 795 of the family's 1533-position model. The record is from RNAcentral.
CCUACGGGAGUCAGCAGUGAGGAAUAUUGGUCAAUGGACGAGAGUCUGAACCAGCCAAGUAGCGUGAAGGAUGACUGCCCUAUGGGUUGUAAACUUCUUUUGUAUGGGAAUAAAACAGGGUAUGCAUACCCUCUUGUAUGUACCAUAUGAAUAAGCAUCGGCUAACUCCGUGCCAGCAGCCGCGGUAAUACGGAGGAUCCGAGCGUUAUCCGGAUUUAUUGGGUUUAAAGGGUGCGGAGGUGGAUUGUUAAGUCAGUUGUGAAAGUUUGCGGCUCAACCGUAAAAUUGCAGUUGAAACUGGCAGUCUGGAGUAGAGGAGAGGUGGGCGGAAUUCGUGGUGUAGCGGUGAAAUGAGUAGAUAUCACGAAGAACUCCGAUUGCGAAGGCAGCUCACUGGACUGCAACUGACACUGAUGCUCGAAAGUGUGGGUAUCAAACAGGAUUAGAUACCCGGGUAGUC